GAUGAACGCUGGCGGCGUGCUUAACACAUGCAAGUCGAACGGAAAGGCCGAAGCUUGCUUCGGUACUCGAGUGGCGAACGGGUGAGUAACACGUGGGUUAUCUGCCCUGUACUUCGGGAUAAGCUUGGGAAACUGGGUCUAAUACCGGAUAUGACGAUCUCUUGGAUGGGGUUGUGGAAAGCUUUUGCGGUAUGGGAUGAGCUCGCGGCCUAUCAGCUUGUUGGUGGGGUAAUGGCCUACCAAGGCGUCGACGGGUAGCCGGCCUGAGAGGGUGUACGGCCACAUUGGGACUGAGAUACGGCCCAGACUCCUACGGGAGGCAGCAGUGGGGAAUAUUGCACAAUGGGCGCAAGCCUGAUGCAGCGACGCCGCGUGGGGGAUGACGGCCUUCGGGUUGUAAACUCCUUUCGCAAUCGACGAAGCCUUUUGGUGACGGUAGGUUGAGAAGAAGCACCGGCUAACUACGUG
This 468-nucleotide ribosomal RNA is filed under the name uncultured bacterium. RNAcentral's name for it is "partial 16S ribosomal RNA". It matches the Rfam family "Bacterial small subunit ribosomal RNA", at positions 28 to 507 of the family's 1533-position model. The record is from RNAcentral.